This is a long non-coding RNA of Octopus bimaculoides (California two-spot octopus), 900 nucleotides long. The record is from RefSeq and is a predicted model, not a curated record. Lineage: Eukaryota; Metazoa; Mollusca; Cephalopoda; Octopoda; Octopodidae.
AAAUACGGAGAUUAUGAUUCUGAAAAAAAGUUUCCAAAAAUUCUUGUACUUGCGGUUACGGAAAAAAUGAAAAAUGAAUAAAUUGGAGGGCGAACGUAAAUUCCAAAAUGCCGAUUUUUUUGCAAUUUUCCGGAAUCUCCGUAUAUGAAAACGGAGGAUUUUGGUGAAAAAAAUGGGGGGCGAUGAGGUCUUUCCGGGUUCCGUUUAUAUCUCUGCCAUAUGAGCCGUACUAAGUAAAAAAAUUCAACGCACUGCUAAGUGAUUAAAUUUAGUUCAUACAUUCGUUUUCUGAUUGAAUGCAUACCAAGAGAUUUAGAAUUCACGGAUUCCGGCUUAGGUUGAUACGUCAUUUCCGUUUUGCAUUGGAGGUCAAGGUCCUUAGAACACAUCCAUAUCCGGCAAGUUUCUCUACUCUGUGUCGCAGGCGCGUCAUGAUAGUUUGCUUCGAAACUGGAGGUCCCCAGGUUCGAUUUCAAUGCGUAGUAUUUACGGCAAAUGUCUUUUUUUUAUUUUAUAGCUUCGAGUUGACCCACACUUUGUGAGGGAAACUGCGAAGAAGUAUGGAAAACGGAUUGAACAUGUCAUUCAAAUAGUACGGCCAUGUCACUGAUUUUGCACAAGAUCCCGAAAGUUUUGGUACUUAUUUAUGGACACCGAAAGGACGAAAGACAAAGCCGACAUCGGGAGAAUUUGAACUAAGAACUUGAAGACAGGCGAUUGUUUCUCGUUUAGCAACAAGGCCAGCAAUAUUAUUCGCCCCCCGAUGAAAAGCAAAAUUAACUUACUUUACAGACAAUUUAUUUCAUCGCACAGAAUGAUUUGAAAGGUAAAAAUGCUUCAACACACGACACACGAACUCACAUAAAGAAUCUUGCUAUCCAAAAACGAAAUAACAACAAA